AGAGUUUGAUCAUGGCUCAGGACGAACGCUGGCGGCGUGCCUAACACAUGCAAGUCUGGGAGAAUUGGGUAGCAAUAUCCAUAGUAAACCGGCGCACGGGUGAGUAAUAUAUAGGUAAUAUGCCUUUUGGUUUGGAAUAACCCCGCGAAAGCGGGGCUAAUACCGAAUGAUGCAGCGGCUCCGCAUGGAGAUGUUGUUAAAGCUUCGGCGCCAAAAGAUUAACCUGUAUCCCAUUAGAUAGUUGGCGAGGUAACGGCUCACCAAGUCUGCGAUGGGUAGCUGAUCUGAGAGGAUGAUCAGCCACACUGGAACUGAGACACGGUCCAGACUCCUACGGGAGGCAGCAGUGAGGAAUAUUGCGCAAUGGAGGAAACUCUGACGCAGCGACGCCGCGUGAAGGAUGAAGGCCCUCUGGGUUGUAAACUUCUGUAGAGAGGGAAGAAUUUUUCGCUUCGCGAAAUUGACGGUACCUCUAAAGUAAGGGUCGGCUAACUACGUGCCAGCAGCCGCGGUAAUACGUAGGACCCAAGCGUUGUCCGGAUUUACUGGGUGUAAAGGGAGCGCAGGCGGAUUUUCAAGUCGAUGGUGAAAUCUUGCGGCUCAACCGCAAAACAGCCGUCGAUACUGUUAAUCUUGAGUGUGGAAGAGAGUGGCGGAAUUCAUGGUGUAGCAGUGAAAUGCGUAGAUAUCAUGAAGAACACCGGUUGCGAAGGC
This 714-nucleotide ribosomal RNA is filed under the name uncultured bacterium. Its description in RNAcentral is "bacterial SSU rRNA". It matches the Rfam family "Bacterial small subunit ribosomal RNA", at positions 8 to 722 of the family's 1533-position model. The record is from RNAcentral.